Molecule: unclassified non-coding RNA, 1283 nt
Filed under: Hevea brasiliensis (rubber tree)
Lineage: Eukaryota; Viridiplantae; Streptophyta; Magnoliopsida; Malpighiales; Euphorbiaceae
Source: RNAcentral
AUUGUAAGUUGUUGCUCCUCUCUGUACCUCUGUCUUUGCAUUUUUCUCUCUCCUCUUCUGUGGAGGAAACGGAACCAAGACAAAAACCAAACAAAUACACUUCUCUACAGUUACCUUUUUCUUGCUUUCCUAGUUGAAGUAACCAUGGCUCUCAAGCUCAAUCCUUUCCUUUCUCAAUCCCACAAGUUGCCUUCUUUCGCUCUCCCACCAAUGGCCAGCCUCAGAUCUCCAAAGUUCUACUCUACCCUGAAGUCUGGCUCCAAGGAGCUUGAGAAUCUCAAGAAGCCAUUUAUGCCUCCUCGUGAGGUGCAUGUUCAGGUUACCCAUUCUAUGCCUCCCCAAAAGAUUGAGAUCUUUAAAUCUCUGGAGAAUUGGGCAGAGGAGAACAUCCUGAUUCAUCUGAAGCCAGUUGAGAAGUGUUGGCAACCACAGGAUUUUUUGCCAGAUCCUGCCUCUGAUGGAUUUCAUGAACAAGUCAAGGAACUUAGGGAGAGAGCGAAGGAGAUUCCAGAUGAUUACUUUGUUGUUUUGGUUGGAGACAUGAUCACUGAAGAAGCUCUUCCCACUUAUCAAACCAUGCUGAAUACCCUAGAUGGAGUUCGGGAUGAAACCGGUGCAAGCCCUACUUCUUGGGCAAUUUGGACAAGGGCAUGGACUGCUGAAGAGAAUAGACAUGGUGACCUCCUCAAUAAGUAUCUCUACCUGUCUGGACGAGUGGACAUGAGGCAAAUUGAGAAGACAAUUCAAUAUUUGAUUGGUUCCGGAAUGGAUCCACGGACAGAAAACAGUCCAUACCUUGGAUUCAUCUACACGUCGUUCCAAGAAAGGGCAACCUUCAUUUCCCAUGGCAACACUGCCAGACUUGCCAAAGAACAUGGAGACAUAAAAUUGGCUCAAAUAUGCGGUACAAUUGCCUCAGAUGAGAAGCGCCAUGAGACAGCAUACACAAAGAUAGUGGAAAAACUCUUUGAGAUUGAUCCUGAUGGAACUGUUAUGGCUUUUGCUGACAUGAUGAGAAAGAAAAUUUCUAUGCCUGCACACUUGAUGUAUGAUGGCCUUGAUGACAAUCUUUUUGACCACUUUUCAGCUGUUGCACAGCGGCUUGGGGGCUACACUGCAAAGGACUAUGCAGAUAUAUUGGAGUUCUUGGUGGGCAGAUGGAAGGUGGAUAAGCUAACAGGACUAUCAUCUGAGGGACAAAAGGCUCAAGAUUACGUUUGCAGGUUACCUCCAAGAAUUAGAAGGCUGGAAGAGAGAGCUCAAGGAAGGGCCAAGGAAGCAAC